GAAAGUGUAGUAAACUUGUCGUGAGGAAACAACCAACCAAACAUAGAUCAAACGUUGUCUUCUGUGUUUAUAAUCCCUCGUAUAAUUGCCAAGCCUCCCCUUCACCAUCUGAAAUAUUCAAUCUCGCCAAUUCAUUCUCCAUUAUGAGAUCCAUGUAAUAACCUCACCAUUACCAGAAACUUUUGGAAGACUCACAGAAAAAACCCCAG
This 209-nucleotide long non-coding RNA is filed under the name Gossypium raimondii (Peruvian cotton). RNAcentral describes it as "long non-coding RNA (GRAI_LNC003088)". Lineage: Eukaryota; Viridiplantae; Streptophyta; Magnoliopsida; Malvales; Malvaceae. The record is from RNAcentral.